This 492-nucleotide ribosomal RNA is filed under the name uncultured bacterium. Its description in RNAcentral is "partial 16S ribosomal RNA". It matches the Rfam family "Bacterial small subunit ribosomal RNA", at positions 29 to 507 of the family's 1533-position model. The record is from RNAcentral.
AGUGAACGCUGGCGGUAGGCCUAACACAUGCAAGUCGAGCGGCAGCACAGUAAGAGCUUGCUCUUACGGGUGGCGAGUGGCGGACGGGUGAGGAAUACAUCGGAAUCUACUUUUUCGUGGGGGAUAACGUAGGGAAACUUACGCUAAUACCGCAUACGACCUACGGGUGAAAGCAGGGGAUCUUUGGACCUUGCGCGAUUGAAUGAGCCGAUGUCGGAUUAGCUAGUUGGCGGGGUAAAGGCCCACCAAGGCGACGAUCCGUAGCUGGUCUGAGAGGAUGAUCAGCCACACUGGAACUGAGACACGGUCCAGACUCCUACGGGAGGCAGCAGUGGGGAAUAUUGGACAAUGGGCGCAAGCCUGAUCCAGCCAUACCGCGUGGGUGAAGAAGGCCUUCGGGUUGUAAAGCCCUUUUGUUGGGAAAGAAAAGCAGCAGGUUAAUACCCCGCUGUUCUGACGGUACCCAAAGAAUAAGCACCGGCUAACUUCGUG